CAGUAGCCACGGUAAUACGUAGGUCCCGAGCGUUGUCCGGAUUUAUUGGGCGUAAAGCGAGCGCAGGCGGUUAGAUAAGUCUGAAGUUAAAGGCUGUGGCUUAACCAUAGUACGCUUUGGAAACUGUUUAACUUGAGUGCAAGAGGGGAGAGUGGAAUUCCAUGUGUAGCGGUGAAAUGCGUAGAUAUAUGGAGGAACACCGGUGGCGAAAGCGGCUCUCUGGCUUGUAACUGACGCUGAGGCUCGAAAGCGUGGGGAGCAAACAGGAUUAGAUACCCCUGUAGUCCCUGUCUCUUAUACA
Molecule: ribosomal RNA, 301 nt
Filed under: uncultured bacterium
Lineage: Bacteria
Description: partial 16S ribosomal RNA
Rfam family: Bacterial small subunit ribosomal RNA
Source: RNAcentral